Molecule: long non-coding RNA, 461 nt
Organism: Brachypodium distachyon (stiff brome)
Lineage: Eukaryota; Viridiplantae; Streptophyta; Magnoliopsida; Poales; Poaceae
Exons: 2
Source: RefSeq, a predicted model, not a curated record
UUUUUGUGAAGAUGUGUGAUCUAAAACAGUUACAGAGAAGGUCCUGAUUAAGCACUGCGAAUUACAUCGAAUCACUCACCUGUCAUAUGGUUUACGGCCAGCGAGAAGUUCUAGCAUUACCACAACCAAAACGGUGAACAUCACUUCGAUACGGUGGAACGGUUUUGGUGUGCCUCUGUUGGAAGGAACGACCAACAAAACAAAGGAAUGUUGAGGACUCUUGCCCAGAAGUAUAGCCAGCUACAAAAUGCUGAUGCAAAUGAUAUCCAUGGACCUUCACAAGCUCGUCCUAUAUUUUAUUUUUCAAGUUUGUAAUUGUUUUCAUUUUGGAAAAAGUUCAUCUUUGGCCGAAAUGCCAAACAGACUCAACUUUCAGAAUGUCCCAAUCUGGCCCCUCAACUUUCCGUUUGCUCUGCAAUCAACUAAAUUAUGCAAUGGUGCAAUCGAACAUAUUUGAGCCA